GCUUACGGCCGUACCACCCUGAAUAUGUCCCAUUUUGGAAGCUAAGCAGGAUCGGUCCUGGUUAGUACUUAGAUGGCAGACUGCCUGGAAAUACUAGGUGCUGUAAGCU
RNAcentral lists this ribosomal RNA (109 nucleotides) under Scleropages formosus (Asian bonytongue). Lineage: Eukaryota; Metazoa; Chordata; Actinopteri; Osteoglossiformes; Osteoglossidae. The record is from RNAcentral.